UUAGACUUAGGUAGGCACUGAGCUGUCCUCAUUCCGGUGAUUCUACAAGGUAUUCCAACAAUAUUUGUUAUCAAAAAAAUUCUGAGCAGAUGUCAUAUGGAAGAUCAUAAUAGUUCGACUCCUUGGUUACUUUUACAUCACCAUGUUUCCACUACCUGGUUGAUCUAUUUGAUCAGAAAUCCUACUAUCCCAAUCAUCAAUUAUAUUGGUUGCCUCUAUCACUCAUUCGUAUGAUUAUUGAUCAACCCAAGUCUUAUGAAUCAUUCUUUUUUUUUUAAAUGGUCCACGACUCCGUGUUUGCUUGUUCUUCUGUACGGCCAGUCGGCCAUAUGACAAGUCUUUAGCUAAAUAAUCCCUACGUGUUACAUAAGGUAAAUAUUGUACAAUUGUUUGGUUUCUCACUACUUGUGCUGUCAAAUGGAACAUUAGGGUUCCACUUCUCGUUUCCUGCUUAGGUUAUAGCGACCAUUAUCAUCAGUUGAUUCUAUAAAUAAAGGUACAGUGAUUCCAUUACUUUGUUUUUUGCUGGAAGGGUUGUUGUAUCCCAAGCUUUUUUAUUUUUUAUUUUUUGCUGGCUUAUUCUUUAUUGAUGGUGACCUGUUUUUCUUUGCAAGAGCAGGGACUUGCACGCAAUGUUCUGCUCCAUCUAAUUCUAGUGAAUGCUCCUUUCAUGCGGAGCAGCAUCUAUGGGAAAAAGGUUCUUGCCUGGCUCGAGAAGAAGAAGAUUAAAUUAGUUUAGACAUAAGAAGAUAUUUUUGUAAUCCCCAGGAAAACUGCUGGUGUUGUACUUUUGUUAGUACUUGGUAUCAAACUCCUCUUCAUUAUAAUUUUAGGCAUUUCUAGGCUGUAGAGAUAGUUCAGUGUGUAGUAGUAACCUCAGGUGUCACUAAUGUAUUCUCAAAAGGCAGGAAAUCGGAACCUAGCGAAUAAUCUGCCAACAGCAAUCUGGAGCUAUGUUCAGUAUACACAAGCCUCUUGAGGGGAUGAUUGUUAAAGGAAUAGGGGAUUUAUAUAGAUGUAUGUGCUUUACCUGUAUACUCUUUUGAGUUAUUGCCACUUGUUGAUUGAUAUAUCUUAUAAAUAUGGUUGUAACUUUAUGUUUUGGAUAUAAAAAAUAAUGGAU
This 1123-nucleotide long non-coding RNA is filed under the name Panax ginseng (ginseng). RNAcentral's name for it is "long non-coding RNA (PGIN_LNC018324)". The record is from RNAcentral. Lineage: Eukaryota; Viridiplantae; Streptophyta; Magnoliopsida; Apiales; Araliaceae.